RNAcentral lists this ribosomal RNA (210 nucleotides) under Salmonella enterica. RNAcentral's name for it is "partial 23S ribosomal RNA". It matches the Rfam family "Bacterial large subunit ribosomal RNA", at positions 1 to 211 of the family's 2925-position model. RNAcentral also lists the same sequence under 1 other name. Lineage: Bacteria; Pseudomonadati; Pseudomonadota; Gammaproteobacteria; Enterobacterales; Enterobacteriaceae. The record is from RNAcentral.
GGUUAAGCGACUAAGCGUACACGGUGGAUGCCCUGGCAGUCAGAGGCGAUGAAGGGCGUGCUAAUCUGCGAUAAGCGCCGGUAAGGUGAUAUGAACCGUUAUAACCGGCGAUACCCGAAUGGGGAAACCCAGUGUGAUUCGUCACACUAUCAUUAACUGAAUCCAUAGGUUAAUGAGGCGAACCGGGGGAACUGAAACAUCUAAGUACCC